UACGAGGGGGGCAAGCGUUGUUCGGAAUUAUUGGGCGUAAAGGGUGCGUAGGCGGUCUGACAAGUCUGAUGUGAAAUCUAUGGGCUCAACCCAUAGUCUGCAUCGGAAACUGUCGGGCUUGAGUAUGGGAGAGGUGAGUGGAAUUUCCGGUGUAGCGGUGAAAUGCGUAGAUAUAGGAAGGAACACCAGUGGCGAAGGCGACCACCUGGACUGAUACUGACGCUGAGGUGCGAAAGCGUGGGGAGCAAACAGG
This 253-nucleotide ribosomal RNA is filed under the name uncultured bacterium. Its description in RNAcentral is "partial 16S ribosomal RNA". It matches the Rfam family "Bacterial small subunit ribosomal RNA", at positions 524 to 776 of the family's 1533-position model. The record is from RNAcentral.